This 781-nucleotide ribosomal RNA is filed under the name uncultured Dialister sp. RNAcentral's name for it is "bacterial SSU rRNA". It matches the Rfam family "Bacterial small subunit ribosomal RNA", at positions 28 to 776 of the family's 1533-position model. The record is from RNAcentral. Lineage: Bacteria; Bacillati; Bacillota; Negativicutes; Veillonellales; Veillonellaceae.
GACGAACGCUGGCGGCGUGCUUAACACAUGCAAGUCGAACGAAAAGAGGGAAAGAGCUUGCUCUUUCCGGAAUUGAGUGGCAAACGGGUGAGUAACACGUAAACAACCUGCCUUCAGGAUGGGGACAACAGACGGAAACGACUGCUAAUACCGAAUAAGUUCCAAGGGCCGCAUGGCCCAUGGAAGAAAAGGUGGCCUCUACCUGUAAGCUAUCGCCUGAAGAGGGGUUUGCGUCUGAUUAGCUGGUUGGAGGGGUAACGGCCCACCAAGGCGACGAUCAGUAGCCGGUCUGAGAGGAUGAACGGCCACACUGGAACUGAGACACGGUCCAGACUCCUACGGGAGGCAGCAGUGGGGAAUCUUCCGCAAUGGGCGAAAGCCUGACGAAGCAACGCCGCGUGAGUGAUGACGGCCUUCGGGUUGUAAAACUCCGUGAUCCGGGACGAAAAGGCAGGGUGCGAAGAACAAACUGCAUUGACGGUACCGGAAAAGCAAGCCACGGCUAACUACGUGCCAGCAGCCGCGGUAAUACGUAGGUGGCAAGCGUUGUCCGGAAUUAUUGGGCGUAAAGCGCGCGCAGGCGGCUUCCCAAGUCCCUCUUAAAAGUGCGGGGCUUAACCCCGUGAUGGGAAGGAAACUGGGAAGCUGGAGUAUCGGAGAGGAAAGUGGAAUUCCUAGUGUAGCGGUGAAAUGCGUAGAGAUUAGGAAGAACACCGGUGGCGAAGGCGACUUUCUGGACGAAAACUGACGCUGAGGCGCGAAAGCGUGGGGAGCAAACAGG